This 263-nucleotide long non-coding RNA is filed under the name Physcomitrium patens. RNAcentral describes it as "long non-coding RNA (PPAT_LNC008524)". The record is from RNAcentral. Lineage: Eukaryota; Viridiplantae; Streptophyta; Bryopsida; Funariales; Funariaceae.
UAAAUUUCAUCCAACACUAGGAAUAACAGACUUCACUCCAACCAAUCUAGAUUUGCAAAAAUUCUGUAAUCAUAGACUUCUUUUGUCCAAAACACACACAACUCUCAAUAAACAACAAUCAUAAUCUUUCAUCCAUAAUCAAUCUUUUAAUAACUUCUCAUAUAAUUUAAUCACAUAAUACUCCAGUUACAUAAUCAAUAACUCAUAAAUCAAUCUCUGAUUUAUUCUACAAACUCACUUAUCAGUAUUCAAAAACUAUCCAU